CGAUAGCGUAUAUUAAAGUUGUUGCAGUUAAAAAGCUCGUAGUUGGAUUUCGGGGCAGCCUGGCUGGUCCGCCGCAAGGCGAGUACUGGUCAGCCGCCCUUCCUCUCGAAAGCCCCGACUGCUCUUCGUUGCAGUGGUCGGGUAGUUCGGGACGUUUACUUUGAAAAAAUUAGAGUGUUCAAGGCAGGCCUACGCCUGAAUACAUUAGCAUGGAAUAAUGGAAGAGGACCUCGGUCCUAUUUUGUUGGUUUCCAGGGCCGAAGUAAUGAUUAAGAGGGACAGUUGGGGGCAUUCGUAUUUAAUUGUCAGAGGUGAAAUUCUCGGAUUUAUGAAAGACGAACAACUGCGAAAGCAUUUGCCAAGGAUGUUUUCAUUAA
RNAcentral lists this ribosomal RNA (377 nucleotides) under uncultured eukaryote. RNAcentral's name for it is "partial 18S ribosomal RNA". It matches the Rfam family "Eukaryotic small subunit ribosomal RNA", at positions 592 to 976 of the family's 1831-position model. The record is from RNAcentral.